This 382-nucleotide ribosomal RNA is filed under the name uncultured eukaryote. RNAcentral describes it as "partial 18S ribosomal RNA". It matches the Rfam family "Eukaryotic small subunit ribosomal RNA", at positions 592 to 976 of the family's 1831-position model. The record is from RNAcentral.
CAAUAGCGUAUAUUAAAGUUGUUGCAGUUAAAAAGCUCGUAGUUGGAUUUCUGGUGAGAUGGAUUAUGUCUAGGUCGAAAGAUCUUGUUCAUGGUUCGUUUUGCCCUUCUUGUCAGGAACCCGCUGAGAUUCGCGUCUUGUCGGUGGAAUGGCAUCGUUUACUGUGAAAAAAUUAGAGUGUUCAAAGCAGGCAUCGCCGUUGAAUACAUUAGCAUGGAAUAAUAAGAUAAGACUUUGGUGGUCUAUUUUGUUGGUUUGCACGCCAAAGUAAUGAUUAAUAGGGAUAGUUGGGGGUAUUCGUAUUCUAUUGCUAGAGGUGAAAUUCUUAGAUUGACGAAAGACAAACUGCUGCGAAAGCGUCUGCCAAGGAUGUUUUCAUUGA